AGAUAUGUAUUUGUUGGGUGAGUUGCUUUACACAGGAUUGCUGGGUCAAAGAAUGCAUUGCGGCCAGAUUUUGAUUUUCCCUCUUUUCACCAUUCUUUGGCCCACACUGUGCCUGCAUGGUGAUCACACAGCCUACAGAGAACCCUAUCUGUUUGUGACCCACUUCAACUCACUCGAAGUAAUUGAGAUCCAGGCACGCUCCUCAGCAGGGACCCCUGCCCGAGCGUACCUGGACAUCCCGAACCCGCGCUACCUGGGCCCUGCCAUUUCCUCAGGAGCGAUUUACUUGGCGUCCUCAUACCAGGAUAAAUUAAGGGUCAUUUGCUGCAAGGGAAACCUCGUGAAAGAGUCCGGCACUGAACACCACCGGGGCCCGUCCACCUCCCGCAGCCCCAACAAGCGAGGCCCGCCCACGUACAACGAGCACAUCACCAAGCGCGU
This 441-nucleotide small RNA is filed under the name Pan troglodytes (chimpanzee). RNAcentral's name for it is "processed transcript". Lineage: Eukaryota; Metazoa; Chordata; Mammalia; Primates; Hominidae. The record is from RNAcentral.